UAAAUUCCAGAUAAGGUUGGUCAAAUGCGAACCUUGGACCUACUUAGUUUAAGAGACUGCCCCGGGCGGACACAGCUUUUGCUUUAACUUGGAUCGAACUUCAACUCCGUGAACACUUAUGUGUGUCUCUAAUAAACUUCCUAACAAGCGUCUAAGUGGACGCAGGCGGACGGAACCGGCUGUUUACGCUAGUUAACGACCGCUUCCAGCAUAUUAACCCAAACAUACCUCUAGUUCGGACAUAUCAAAGGUGUUCUAAAUGAGCGGCGUAGCGUGUGUGACGGUCAUACGGCGCAGGAAGCGACGUGCGUGGGUCGUGCAGACCACUUCCGAUACUUUGACAAACAGCCCUUAAGGUCGGAGGGUUAAAGGGUCCCAAAUAUAAAACAUCUGAAGAGUAAUACCAUGAUACGACAUACUUAGGUAUAGUUGAAAUUGCGUUUAAUUUAAAGGUAUUCAUUAGAAACGUG
Long non-coding RNA from Aricia agestis (brown argus), 470 nucleotides. RefSeq lists it as uncharacterized. The record is from RefSeq and is a predicted model, not a curated record. NCBI's taxonomy places the organism in Eukaryota, Metazoa, Arthropoda, Insecta, Lepidoptera, Lycaenidae. The transcript is spliced from 3 exons.